This 494-nucleotide ribosomal RNA is filed under the name uncultured bacterium. RNAcentral's name for it is "partial 16S ribosomal RNA". It matches the Rfam family "Bacterial small subunit ribosomal RNA", at positions 28 to 507 of the family's 1533-position model. The record is from RNAcentral.
GACGAACGCUGGCGGCGUGCUUAACACAUGCAAGUCGAACGGAAAGGCCUGCUUUCCCUUGUGGAUUGCGGGUACUCGAGUGGCGAACGGGUGAGUAACACGUGAGUGAUCUGCCCCCAACUUGGGUAUAAGCCUGGGAAACUGGGUCUAAUUCCCGAUAGGACUGCAGGGUGGUGCCUGUGUUGGAAAACGAUUUUCUAGUGGUUGGGGAUGAGCUCGAGGCCUAUCAGCUUGUUGGUGGGGUAAUGGCCUGCCAAGGCGGCGACGGGUAGCCGGCCUGAGAGGGUGGACGGUGGGACUGAGACUGGGACCAGGCUCCGACGCCUGCGGGAGGCAGCGGUGGGGGAACAUGGGCGAUGGGCGGAAGCCUGCUGCGGCGACGCCGCGUGGGGGAUGAUGGCCUUCGGGUUGGAAUCUCCUUUCGACCGCGAGGAAGCCACCUGGUUGGAAGGGUGGUGACGGUAGUGGUAGAAGAAGCACCGGCUAACUACGUG